Molecule: ribosomal RNA, 464 nt
Filed under: Vreelandella stevensii
Lineage: Bacteria; Pseudomonadati; Pseudomonadota; Gammaproteobacteria; Oceanospirillales; Halomonadaceae
Description: partial 16S ribosomal RNA
Rfam family: Bacterial small subunit ribosomal RNA
Source: RNAcentral
CCUACGGGUGGCAGCAGUGGGGAAUAUUGGACAAUGGGCGAAAGCCUGAUCCAGCCAUGCCGCGUGUGUGAAGAAGGCCUUCGGGUUGUAAAGCACUUUCAGUGGGGAAGAAAGCCUUGGGGCUAAUACCCUCGAGGAAGGACAUCACCCACAGAAGAAGCACCGGCUAACUCCGUGCCAGCAGCCGCGGUAAUACGGAGGGUGCGAGCGUUAAUCGGAAUUACUGGGCGAAAGCGCGCGUAGGCGGUCUGAUAAGCCGGUUGUGAAAGCCCCGGGCUCAACCUGGGAACGGCAUCCGGAACUGUCAGGCUAGAGUGCAGGAGAGGAAGGUAGAAUUCCCGGUGUAGCGGUGAAAUGCGUAGAGAGCGGGAGGAAUACCAGUGGCGAAGGCGGCCUUCUGGACUGACACUGACGCUGAGGUGCGAAAGCGUGGGUAGCAAACAGGAUUAGAUACCCCAGUAGUC